RNAcentral lists this ribosomal RNA (497 nucleotides) under uncultured bacterium. RNAcentral describes it as "partial 16S ribosomal RNA". It matches the Rfam family "Bacterial small subunit ribosomal RNA", at positions 28 to 507 of the family's 1533-position model. The record is from RNAcentral.
GAUGAACGCUGGCGGCGUGCCUAAUGCAUGCAAGUCGAGCGAACAGACGAUGAGCUUGCUCCUCUGACGUUAGCGGCGGACGGGUGAGUAACGAGUGGAUAACCUACCUAUAAGACUGGGAUAACUUCGGGAAACCGGAGCUAAUAACGGAUAAUAUAUUGAACCGCAUGGUUCAAUAGUUAAAGACGGUUUUGCUGUCACUUAUAGAUGGAUCCGCGCAGCCUUAGCUAGUUGGUAAGGUAACGGCUUACCAAGGAAACGAUGCGUAGCCGACCUGAGAGGGUGAUCGGCCACAAUUGAACUGGGACAAGGUCCAGACUCCUAAGGGAGGCAGGAGGAGGGAAUCUUCCGCAAUUGGGGAAAGCCUGAAGGAACAACGCCGCGGUGGGUGAGGAGGGCUUCGGAGUGUAAAACUCUGUUAUUAGGGAAAAACAAGUGUGUAAGUAACUAUGCGCUGCUUUGCGGUAACUAAUCGGAGAGCCACGGCUAACUUCGUG